AACGAACGCUGGCGGCAUGCCUAACACAUGCAAGUCGAACGAACCCUCCGGGUCUUUUUGCCCAUGGCUGCGUCACGCGUGGGAACAUGCCCUUAUGGUCGCCCUAUCUCCACGACUGGGGUGCCAAUACCGAAUAAUAUCUUCGGACCAAUGAUUUAUCGCCUCUGGUUGUGCCCUCGUUGGAUUAGCUAGUUGGUAUGGUAAAAGCCUACUAAGGCGCCGAUCCAUAGCUGGUUUGAGUGGAUGAUCAGCCACACUGUGACUGAGACACGGCCCGGACUCCUACGGGAGGGGGCAGAGGGGAAUAGUGGACAAGGGGCGUAAGCCUGAUCCAGCAAUGCCGCGUGAGUGAUGGAGGCCUUAGGGGUGUAAAGCUCUUUUAACCGGGAUGAUAAUGACCGGACCGGGAGAAUAAGCUCCGGCUAACUCCGUG
This 433-nucleotide ribosomal RNA is filed under the name uncultured bacterium. Its description in RNAcentral is "partial 16S ribosomal RNA". It matches the Rfam family "Bacterial small subunit ribosomal RNA", at positions 29 to 507 of the family's 1533-position model. The record is from RNAcentral.